Molecule: non-coding RNA, 208 nt
Organism: Pelobates cultripes (western spadefoot toad)
Lineage: Eukaryota; Metazoa; Chordata; Amphibia; Anura; Pelobatidae
Source: the annotation of a GenBank genome assembly
GAAAAACCCACAGGUAACCUCAGGUGAAAUAUAGGCUGCUCUGGAAAAAGACAGUGUGGUUGUUUCAAGGAGCACAAUACAACGAUACUUGAACAAAAAUUAGCUGCAUGGUCUAGUUCCCAGAAAGAAGCAUAUACUGCGCCAAUGCCCAAAAAGGUCCAGUUACAGUGUGUCCGACAACACCUUGACACGCCUCACAACUUCUGGC